RNAcentral lists this long non-coding RNA (753 nucleotides) under Ananas comosus (pineapple). RNAcentral's name for it is "long non-coding RNA (ACOM_LNC007659)". The record is from RNAcentral. Lineage: Eukaryota; Viridiplantae; Streptophyta; Magnoliopsida; Poales; Bromeliaceae.
CCAACUCCACCACCUCCUUCUCCGGUGAGCCUCUCUCUCUAAUGGCGACCCAACUCCGCCACCUCCCGCCGCCGCCCCNAGAGUGGCCUCUUCCUCCACCACCUCAACCACUAAAAUUCCACCUCCUAGGGUACGAUCCUUUUACGAUAUGUUGUGCUGUGUCCUUUAGAUAGGUUAUCGCAUUCCUGUGCAGUUCAAUACUAACACUAAUUACUGUGCACCGUCAAAAGACCCCGCACUACAUGGACAGCCCCUGCCACCUCCCCUUUUGCUGAAGUCCCGCCUCUAAGCCUCCACGCAUGGGUUGAAGCGAAAACGCUUUAUGGCUUUACCGGGAGUCCCCUACGUCCCCUCACUCAAUCGGCACAACCCUAAAAGCAUUAAUACACCUUACAAUUCCCAUAACAUACAUGUCCACCUCACCCAACCUACCACCUUGCGCCUUAGAGGUCUGCAUACGCACGUGCGGCAUAUGGAAGCUUGCGCUGAUGCGCUCAUAAUAAAAUAAUAAAUAAAAACUAGUUAAACGUUGUUUUUUUUUUUUAGUGGGAAAAAUAUAAAAAAAUAUUUUCCUCUCUCUCUAAUGGCGACCCAACUCCGCCACCUCCCGCCGCCGCCCCUCGCCGGAAACCGCCGCACACUCGCCGGAACCCUAAUCCGCUCGGCCUCCUCCUCCCUCGCCCCUUCCCAUCGUCGUCAGACCCAUACCCCUUCCCUCUCCCUCCCCCUGCUCCUCCGAUCGGGAUCAUCGAA